GAUAUAUAUGCGAGGAGUUGUGCUGGUAAUGAAUAUAUGCAUGUGCACACUCUGGAGCUUAUAAUAUAUACACCUGUGAACCAACUGUAGUCAGGAGAAAUCCUAACUAUGAUUACCCUAUAUAACUCUUAUUGGAUGUUACAUAGAACGAUCUCAUAUUGAAACUUUGUUUUCUGACAAGUUUCUCUUAAUUAAAAAUAUACAACUUUCAACAACGGAUCUCUUGUCUCUUGCUUCGAUGAAGAACGCCGCGAAAUGCGAUAAGUAAUGUGAAUUGCAGAAUCCAGUGAAUCAUCGAAUCUUUGAACGCCCCUUGCGCCCUUUGGUAUUCCGAGGGGCAUGCCUGUUUGAGAGUCAUUAAAUUCUCCACCUUACAAAUUUUUGUAUUUGUCGAGGCUUGUAUGUGAGAAGUGCUGGUUAAAAAAAAUUCUGAGUGGCUCUCUUUAAAAAUAUAAGAAGGACGUGUAAAAAUGCCCACGGGUGGUGUGAUAAUAUGUCCACCCCUACACCAGGAGGGGGAUUCUAUCUUGUGUGCACUUCUUAUAAAAUCAUGCGCAUAUAUCUAGCAUAUAAGGGCAUAUUUUGACCAUUUCACCUC
This 598-nucleotide unclassified non-coding RNA is filed under the name Agroathelia rolfsii. Its description in RNAcentral is "Athelia rolfsii partial miscellaneous RNA". The stretch from base 204 to 357 matches the Rfam family "5.8S ribosomal RNA". Lineage: Eukaryota; Fungi; Basidiomycota; Agaricomycetes; Amylocorticiales; Amylocorticiaceae. The record is from RNAcentral.